UGAGGAAUAUUGGUCAAUGGACGCAAGUCUGAACCAGCCAUGCCGCGUGAAGGAUGAAGGCCUUCUGGGUUGUAAACUUCUUUUAUCUGGGAAGAAAAUUACGGUUUCUACUGUAACCGACGGUACCAGAGGAAUAAGCACCGGCUAACUCCGUGC
RNAcentral lists this ribosomal RNA (156 nucleotides) under uncultured bacterium. Its description in RNAcentral is "partial 16S ribosomal RNA". It matches the Rfam family "Bacterial small subunit ribosomal RNA", at positions 355 to 508 of the family's 1533-position model. The record is from RNAcentral.